CAGUCGCCGCGGUAAUACGGAGGGUGCAAGCGUUAUCCGGAUUCACUGGGUUUAAAGGGUGCGUAGGCGGGCAGGUAAGUCAGUGGUGAAAUCUUCGAGCUUAACUCGGAAACUGCCGUUGAUACUAUCUGUCUUGAAUAACGUUGAGGUGAGCGGAAUAUGUCAUGUAGCGGUGAAGUGCUUAGAUAUGACAUAGAACACCGAUUGCGAAGGCAGCUCACUAAACGCUCAUUGACGCUGAGGCACGAAAGCGUGGGGAUCAAACAGGAUUAGAUACCCGGGUAGUCCCUGUCUCUUAUUC
RNAcentral lists this ribosomal RNA (301 nucleotides) under uncultured bacterium. RNAcentral describes it as "partial 16S ribosomal RNA". It matches the Rfam family "Bacterial small subunit ribosomal RNA", at positions 509 to 809 of the family's 1533-position model. The record is from RNAcentral.